Molecule: transfer RNA, 72 nt
Filed under: Bos taurus (domestic cattle)
Lineage: Eukaryota; Metazoa; Chordata; Mammalia; Artiodactyla; Bovidae
Also listed under: 2 other names
Rfam family: tRNA
About the family: Transfer RNA (tRNA) molecules are approximately 80 nucleotides in length. Their secondary structure includes four short double-helical elements and three loops (D, anti-codon, and T loops).
Source: Rfam by way of RNAcentral
UCCCUGGUGGCUCAGAAGGUAAAGCAUCUGCCUGCAAUGCAGGAGACCCAGGUUCGAUCCCUGGGUAGGGAA